CUUGAUGAUUCUUUUUGAAUCAAAGAUCUUGGUCAUUUGAAUUACUUUCUGGGGAUUGAAGCAUUCAGAUCCACUGAUGGUCUCAACAUUUGCCAAAGAAA
Ipomoea nil (Japanese morning glory) is the source of this 101-nucleotide long non-coding RNA. RefSeq lists it as uncharacterized. NCBI's taxonomy places the organism in Eukaryota, Viridiplantae, Streptophyta, Magnoliopsida, Solanales, Convolvulaceae. The transcript is spliced from 3 exons. The record is from RefSeq and is a predicted model, not a curated record.